Molecule: long non-coding RNA, 869 nt
Filed under: Urocitellus parryii (Arctic ground squirrel)
Lineage: Eukaryota; Metazoa; Chordata; Mammalia; Rodentia; Sciuridae
Description: lncRNA (ENSUPAG00010002445.1)
Source: RNAcentral
CCUAGAACCAAGCAUCAACUUGUGCCUUGCCAUAUAACUUCCAGACUGUGAACUAAGUAAACCUCUUUUGUUUUUAAAGUCUCUAGACUUAGGUAUUUUGUUAUAGCAAUGGACACYGGACUAACCCAACCAUAUCUAAAAGGUGAGUGUGUUUCAGGACAUCACAAAAAGAUGAGCCGGGAAAGAGUGGCCCACUACUGACGGAGCAACUCRAAGGGCAAGUGCCCACGGACCUGRGAAGGAAGUCRGUGGCAUYRGCCCCUUCUUAGAAGCAUGCAAAUGCACCGUCAUCAGGAUACAGUGAGAUCACCGUGAUCACCCUUCAAAGUUCCAGGAUGCUUCUCAGCACUCAAUGAUUUUAUGGAAAGAGUGGGAAGAUGUUUUGGCAUUAGACUCUAAGGAACUGGAACCACAUUUGCAGAAUUGAUAACAGAUGCUGGAAGUUGGAGCUGCUGCCUAUUAUUCUCUUGGAUUAAAACAGAGAGCCCCAGAGAGAAUUAAGCUUCAUCCCUGCCACCAACAAUGCCUCAUGCAUGAAGCAGAUGUUCACAUCAGCUGCACAGGCAGUCAAUCGAAUAACAAUAGCAUCAUUAUUGAAAGAUCACUGGGACACACCAUCCUCCAAGUUCUUCACGUGCACAGCCAAUUUCAGCCUCACGACAGUCCACGGGAUUGGUUCUUCAUAAUCGCUGCUUAACAUGUGAGGAAUCUGAGUCUUGGAAGGUUGGGGAAUGUUUUUCAGGUCAGAUCUGGAAGACUGGGAGAYGGCCCAGGUUGGCAUUAUGCUUUCUACUCUACGAAUAAGAGAAGGUAUCUUCAUUCAAUUGAUUUAAUGGGAAAAAAGGAUGUACAAUUUUGUGUGUGGGGGG